CAUCAAUACUUACGUGAAACUACUCUCCAACCCCUCCCGCUCAUCCUUCUUCAUUUUCAUCAGAUACGCGUCCAAAAAGUCGUCAGGCUCAUCGUGAAGCACG
Molecule: small RNA, 103 nt
Filed under: Caenorhabditis japonica
Lineage: Eukaryota; Metazoa; Nematoda; Chromadorea; Rhabditida; Rhabditidae
Description: sRNA CJA48986
Source: RNAcentral